Molecule: ribosomal RNA, 453 nt
Filed under: Salmonella enterica
Lineage: Bacteria; Pseudomonadati; Pseudomonadota; Gammaproteobacteria; Enterobacterales; Enterobacteriaceae
Description: bacterial SSU rRNA
Rfam family: Bacterial small subunit ribosomal RNA
Source: RNAcentral
AAAUUGAAGAGUUUGAUCAUGGCUCAGAUUGAACGCUGGCGGCAGGCCUAACACAUGCAAGUCGAACGGUAGCACAGAGAGCUUGCUCUCGGGUGACGAGUGGCGGACGGGUGAGUAAUGUCUGGGAAACUGCCUGAUGGAGGGGGAUAACUACUGGAAACGGUGGCUAAUACCGCAUAACGUCGCAAGACCAAAGAGGGGGACCUUCGGGCCUCUUGCCAUCAGAUGUGCCCAGAUGGGAUUAGCUAGUUGGUGAGGUAACGGCUCACCAAGGCGACGAUCCCUAGCUGGUCUGAGAGGAUGACCAGCCACACUGGAACUGAGACACGGUCCAGACUCCUACGGGAGGCAGCAGUGGGGAAUAUUGCACAAUGGGCGCAAGCCUGAUGCAGCCAUGCCGCGUGUAUGAAGAAGGCCUUCGGGUUGUAAAGUACUUUCAGCGGGGAGGAAGGU